CGCAGCGUCUAUAAAAAGAGUGGCUGCGGCCCGCGCUUUCUCUUUUGGGAUCUGCCUUGGGUUGUGUUCUUGGGUACAAAAUCUCAAGCCAAUGUUGUUUGUAAAGAGUUUUACAAAUUUUGUGAUCAUGGAACAAGGAUUGAUUCUGUGUUCACAAAUAUUGGAAUGCUACCUAUUGAUGUGCUGGCCUUUGGGUUCUCUAAUAUGGAUCAGCUUUAGAUGAUCAAACAUGUCUUAAUGAUUGAGCUGUGUUUCUGAAGAACCUCAAGAAAAGGCAAG
Molecule: long non-coding RNA, 279 nt
Organism: Crotalus tigris (Tiger rattlesnake)
Lineage: Eukaryota; Metazoa; Chordata; Lepidosauria; Squamata; Viperidae
Exons: 5
Source: RefSeq, a predicted model, not a curated record